This is a transfer RNA of 75 nucleotides. It matches the Rfam family "tRNA". From Rfam's summary of the family: Transfer RNA (tRNA) molecules are approximately 80 nucleotides in length. Their secondary structure includes four short double-helical elements and three loops (D, anti-codon, and T loops).
GCUCCCGUCGUUCAGCGGAUAGGACAGUAGCUUGCGGAGCUACAAACCCAGGUUCGACUCCUGGCGGGAGCACAA